UAUCAUAAUCAUCAUCCUCUGAGAUAUGAUAAAAUUUGAAUAGAAGAUUUUCAUACAAUUCUCCAACACAUUUGGGCUUGCAACCCAUAUAGAAAGUGAGCCUCUCCAUGGAAGACAAAAUGCAAAACUUUUGCACUGGGUUGGGGUUUCUAUGCAUUGGAUUGCAGAAGACAUGUGUCGUCAAGUAUGACUAGAGGAGAAAUCUCGAGCAAACAUCGUCGUACUUGUUAGAUAUGUGAUCUAUUCAUUUAUUUCUUUUCAUUUGGUUUAGCGUAUAUGUUUCUCCCUUCAAAUACAAAUCUUCUGUUUCAGAGGUAUGUUUCUCAUAAAAUGUUAAACACUCGAUGAGACAUGUGGACUGUCAAGGGCCAAGCGCUGAAACGAAUGGUGUAUCGAACCGCAUGGGUUUGACAAAAUGGAAUAGAAGAUUGUACAUUUGCUCAAAAAGGCUUAGAUAUCAACUUCAAAGAAAGACAGCCCAUCACAUGAAGUAGUGAUUCAACAUAAGAACGGGUGGAGUUGCCUAAGGAAGUUAUAUUAUCAGGAUAUAUAAAAGGCUUGUGCGUCUCAACUGGAUCAGGAUCAUGGUCUGGAGACCAUUGGAGAGUUGAUAGAACUGCUAAGCUCAAAGACAGUGGUAAUAAGGAAAAGAAAUUGGAAGGGCUAACAUCGAAAUUGAGAUCUCCUGAUCUACCAUGUUGAUGCACCGAACGCUAGAAUAGCAAGUUGAAGCACAUUGGCGUACCGGAUAGUCUUGUGAUAUGCGUAUACAUUGCUCCAACUUCGUAGGCUAUAACCCAAAGAAAGUGAGCCUCCGAGGAUAGGUACAUACAACCCAAAGAUUGUUUUACAAGUCUGCAAACUCAUUUGGGCUUACAACACAAAGACAAAGUGAAGCCUCGCCAUGGAAGGAUUAGGCUCCCAUAACUGCUGACUUCUGCGGCGUUCUUGGUGUCUACGUCAGAUUCUAACUCAGACCACCAAACGUUCAACAGAUGAAGAAUGGUGUUUUACUUCAUGGACACGCCAAAGGAGCAGCAACAUCGCAACAAACCACCAUCACUAGCAUUGUCGCAUCAUAUCAUCGUCAGUGGCAUCGACAAUCACCUCGUAUCAAAAUCAUCACCAUAUGCGUUUCACAUAUCCAAAUCAUCGUCAGUAGAUUCUAUGUUGUGGUUCAUUACUUACUGUUCCGUAGGGUUGCAAAAGAGAUUUGAUAAUAAAUGGUCAGUGAAUUCGUGACGUGAUGGGAUGGUUUUGCUCGAGGUGUUCAUGUUAUUACAUAUGUUAUAACGCUACGCAAUGGUUGAUUAUAAUUAAGCCGAUGGAGAUGAA
Tarenaya hassleriana is the source of this 1335-nucleotide long non-coding RNA. RefSeq lists it as uncharacterized. The record is from RefSeq and is a predicted model, not a curated record. The transcript has 12 exons. Lineage: Eukaryota; Viridiplantae; Streptophyta; Magnoliopsida; Brassicales; Cleomaceae.